GAUGAACGCUGGCGGCGUGCCUAAUACAUGCAAGUCGAGCGAACAGACGAGGAGCUUGCUCCUCUGACGUUAGCGGCGGACGGGUGAGUAACACGUGGAUAACCUACCUAUAAGACUGGGAUAACUUCGGGAAACCGGAGCUAAUACCGGAUAAUAUAUUGAACCGCAUGGUUCAAUAGUGAAAGACGGUUUUGCUGUCACUUAUAGAUGGAUCCGCGCCGCAUUAGCUAGUUGGUAAGGUAACGGCUUACCAAGGCAACGAUGCGUAGCCGACCUGAGAGGGUGAUCGGCCACACUGGAACUGAGACACGGUCCAGACUCCUACGGGAGGCAGCAGUAGGGAAUCUUCCGCAGUGGGCGAAAGCCUGACGGAGCAACGCCGCGUGAGUGAUGAAGAUCUUCGGAGCGUAAAACUCUGUUAUUAGGGAAGAACAAAUGUGUAAGUAACUAUGCACGUCUUGACGGUACCUAAUCAGAAAGCCACGGCUAACUACGUG
This 497-nucleotide ribosomal RNA is filed under the name uncultured bacterium. RNAcentral describes it as "partial 16S ribosomal RNA". It matches the Rfam family "Bacterial small subunit ribosomal RNA", at positions 28 to 507 of the family's 1533-position model. The record is from RNAcentral.